GGAGGAUAAAGUAAUCUGGUGAUGCUCAUGGGCUUCAAACCCGAUGACUGGGCGGUUGACCGUCUGGUGGGGAGUUCGAUUCUCUCAUCCUCUCGCCA
RNAcentral lists this transfer RNA (98 nucleotides) under Campylobacter concisus. Its description in RNAcentral is "tRNA-Sec". It matches the Rfam family "Selenocysteine transfer RNA". The record is from RNAcentral. Lineage: Bacteria; Pseudomonadati; Campylobacterota; Epsilonproteobacteria; Campylobacterales; Campylobacteraceae.